Molecule: long non-coding RNA, 2550 nt
Organism: Ostrea edulis (European flat oyster)
Lineage: Eukaryota; Metazoa; Mollusca; Bivalvia; Ostreida; Ostreidae
Exons: 2
Source: RefSeq, a predicted model, not a curated record
UAGGGCCAUGAUUAAACAUUUUUAAAUAUGCAAGCAUUCCCAGGUAGUGCAGAUUCAAAUUUGUUCAAAUUGUGGUCCCCAGGAGUAUGGUGAGGCCACAGCAGGGGAUCAAAGUUUUACAUGAGAAAGUACAGGAAAAAUUCUUCUUUUCAAUAACAAUUAACAGGGCCAUGAAUACUCAUAUUAAUAUGCAAGCAUCCCCAGGUAGUACAGAUUGAAGUAUAUUCAAAUCACGGCCAUCGAGGUAGGAUGCAUGGGGCCACAAUAGCUGGUUAUAGUUUUAUAUAGGAAUAUAUAAGGAAACAUCUUUGAAAAUUUCAUACCAUGAUUUUUUACAUUGUGAUAUUGUAUCAUGGUUUAAUAUUGUGACCAUAAGGGGCUUAGGUUAGGGCCACACUAUGGGGUCAAAAUUUCUCAUGGGAAUAAAGAUUGCUAGAAUGAAUUUUAAAUAACAAAAACUGAACAACAGCAGGGCCAAGAUGACUCAUGUGAGCGAUGUGGCCUAUAGGCCUCUUGCUUUUUGUUUCAAUGGUCAUAGAUCUUUGGAGUCAUUGUUGGAUAUUUCGUCAAUGUUCGGUAGAUUUGCAAAACUCUCCUCUUGACCAUUGUUCAAGGCAUACAUUAUCAUUUUCUGUAAACUGUCACAAAACUCAACCUUUCAUAAAAUACUUGGUUGUUUAUUUGUGUAUCCAAUCAUUGAAAUAGAUGUGAUUAAACCACUUAGUUCCACUUGAUCUCCCCAUUAUACAUAUGCUAAAUAUAAACCUCAGAUGCGAGUCAUGAAAUAAAAUUACCACAUGGGACAGGUGACCACUGAAUAAAGUGACUGUUAUGGCAAGUUUGACUGUAAUAUGAAUUUCUUGGAUAUAAUGAAUUAUAUUUAUAACGAAUUGAAAUUUUUCAUACCAUUAGCACUUUGCUAUAAGUGAGUAAUUAUCACACACACACCCCCACCCCCACCCCCAAAGUUUGGGGUGUAUGUGUGUGUAUAUGAAUCACCAUGUUACUCAAUCUGUCUGUGUGACACACCUGUCUGACAAUUUUAGUCAGGUCACAACUUGUAAUGGAUAGAUGUUAGAAGUUUUUACUUGGCUCAAGGAUGGCUUAUUGCUAGAUGGUACUAGUAUGUUAUAACCCUGUCCCAAGGUCAAGUUGAAAGUUCAAGUGAGAUUUUCUGAUCGCCUGUUGUCUGUCAGCUGUCUGUCUGUGUCAGUCAGUCUGUAAACUUUUUCCAUUUCGACUUCUCCAGAACCACUGGGCCAAUUUCAACCAAACUUGGCACAAAGCAUGCUUGGGUGAAGGCCAUGCCCCCUUUAAAGGGGAGAUAAUCACAAAAAUGCAAAAAUAGGAUGGGGUUAUUUAAAAAUCUUCUUGAGAACCACUGGGCCAGAAGAGCAGAAAUUUGCUUCCUGACAUAGUGCAGAUUCAAAUUUGAUAAAACCAUGACCCCUGGAGGUAUAUUUGGGCCACAAUAGGGGAUAUAAGUUAUACAUGUGAAUAUAUCUAGGUAAAAUCUUUGAAAAUCUUUUUCCCAAGAACAAAGCUUCCUGACAUAGUGCAGAUUCAUGUUUGUAAAAAUCAUGGCUCCCGGGGGUAGAAUGGCACUACAAUAGGGGAUUAAAGUUUUACAUGUAGAAAUAUAGAUGGACAAUCUUUAAAAUUCUUCUUCUUAAUUAAGGACCACUGGACCAGAAAAGUUUAUAUUGACAUGAAAGCUUCCUGACAUUGUUCAGAUUCAAGGUUGUUAAAACCAUGACCCCUGGGAUUAAAGUUUUACAUAUGAAUAUGUAGGGAAGAAUCUUUAAAUAUGGGCCAAGGUGACUUGGGUGAGUGAUGUAGCCCAUGGGCCUCUUGUUGAUUGACAACAAGUAGAAGCUCAUACUUAACACAAAACUUGUUGAAUAUUGUCAGAUUGUCUGUCAUGACUAUUUGGCUCCAUAUAAGGUCAGUUAAAAUCAUAGUCUGCCUUGUAACUAAUUAAUGCAGGGAUUGUAUAAGUUUUUUAUGAUUGUGGCAAAUGAAUUUGCUGUACUUUGAAUAUGCCCUAUUUUAGAUGAACCUCACAGGGGUAUUAUAGUCCUGAUAGGACAGGUUGUAGUUUUUCAUCCUAGUAAACAUUUCCUUUGUUGCGUAAUGAAACAGAAUACAAUAAGACCAUUGCAUAAGUUCUGUUAUGACUGUGGUCCACCAUGUAGAAAAUCUCCAGACAAAUCAUGCAUAUCAUAAAAGUUUUACUAUAUAUUUCUUUCCAAAUCUCAGGAAACAUUUUUUUUACAUUCAGAGUAUAGUGUGUAAAUACAGCAAAUAAUGAAAACUGGUAAGGAACCUGUAAGAGGCAGUUGUGUUCCUUGUGUAUUUAUUUCUGAUGCAAUCAGAUCUGAAUAUUACAUCCAUGAUCUGCUAGUUAUCAUCUGCAUGAUUAUUCAAGAAUAACAACUGGCAUUUUUAUGCAAAAUCAUGAAAUAGGCGAUGUUCCUUUUAAGUGCCCUUGAAAAGGUGUCACCAUGGAAACACACAAAUUUUUAAAAACAUAUGAAGUCAAAGAACAAA